CACCAAGCACACGUGCUGUAUCUAGCAUAAGGGACCGCCAGUGGAUGCUUGGCGCCUUAGAGUUACUUUUACAUGGUGAAUUGAGGAAGAAGGGGAGACGGCAGUUUGACGAGCGUAAGAGGAGUCAAAGACAAAGGUCACCUCGAGGAUGUUGGCGCAGAUUACGGCGGCGAUGGGCUUAGCGGCCUGGAGGUUCUCGCCAGCGAUGAUGGUGAGGUUGGUGAUGAUGGGCUUGGAAUUGAAGGUGAGCUCCCCAAGCGCGGUCCGGUACUGGCCGAGCAGCUCGUCAACCAGCGCUUGCUCGGCGGCGCUUGCGCCGCCAUUGGAGGCGGCGGCGGCAGCGGCGUAAGAUCUGGGGUCCCGUGCCGGCGGCUGCGCGAGGCGCGGCUUCUUCGCGCCGGGGUCGGGGCUAGCGGCGGAUCUGCGGGCGGAGGCGGAGGCCUCCAUGGGGACAGCGGAGGCGGAGGCGCGCAUGACCGGCGGGUGGGCGGGCGGGAAGCUAGGGUUUGGGGCGCAUUGGAAAGGGAGAGAGCGGGAGAAGCUAGGGUUUGCAAGGCGGGUCGCGUAAUCGAAUCAUGGGGAUCGGGCGUCAGCGAGGGAAAGUGAGGAGGAAGGGCACAAGCGGCGACUUGCUGCUACCGGAUGCAGAAGGCAGCAAGGUUUGAUUUGAUUUGGCGUCAGCGUUUCGGGUCUGGAGACCGGAGGUAGCCAGGUAGGAAGACGGGAGAAGGGAGCCGCGAAAGAAGAGGACGCAGAGCAUGGCACACUUCUGUUUUCCUUUCUCUAUUACUACUAGAUGAGUGCCCGUGCGUUGCAACGAAACUAUAUAAUAACACGAUAACUUAUGUAUAUAUGUGUGUUAUAUUGUUAUAGGUGAGUGCCCGUGCAUUGCAACAGAAUCAAUAUGAAUACAUUGAUAUACAAUGUCUCACAAUCUAGCAUAAGUUGGAAUAAUUGUAUAAAGCAGUUGUGGCCAUUAAACAAAGAUGGGAUGGAUAAUAAUACAUGUUGUAGAGACAUCCCUUUCAUGAGUUCUAGGCUAUCAGGCUUGUCAUUGCGCUUCCUCGGUCCAUGCGUUAGUCCUGCAAAAGUAGAAGUCCACUUAUUCAUAGCUCAUGAGAGAUGAACUAAAUGGAACCGCUGGUAAGGAAUACAAGAUAUCUGGGGAUCACCUUUCAUCGAAUGCUUAAACCAGAUCUUCAACACAGUUUUAAAUUCGGGUCGAUUAUGAUCUGGUUAUGCUACUUAUAUUAUACGAAUUAUGCAUCUGCUAGCUGCUCACUGAGCAAUGUCACACGCCUAAGAACCCCCACCAUAACAGCAUGCCUAGAAAGCAACACCUACCCCCACCAUAACAGCAUGCCUAGAAAGCAACACCUCUGAUUAGAAUUUGUACUCUAAACAAGAACUUCUGGGUAGAAUUAGAAUCGUACAGAGUAUAACAUUGUUGUUAUGUAGAUGUCCGAGCUUCCUCAGUUUGCAAUAACAAUGUAAUCCCUCAUCAAGGGCUAAUACUCAUUAGGUAUUUCAGCCCUUGCCUGCACAUGCAGUUCUCUGACAGAGGAUCUGAGAGGAGGGCCACUGGGGUCAGGGACAUGCCACAGUGCCACACCUACACAGUUGCCCCUUAAUUCUAAAAUGGUGAGCACCUUAGAAGUUAGAAGAGUAGAUUAACAAACUCAGUAUGCAUGGAUUAUGCGCCAAUGAACAAGAUCCAUUUACCCACAUGCAAUUCUCAACGCAAAUGUCAUUUCAGUGACGUUAUUUAAUUAAAAAUUUACAGCAUAAUACAAUGAUGUCAAGAAUUUCUAAGAAUCUACAAUUGAUUAGGAUGGUAAAUGUUGGCCCAGCUCCUGGUAAUGCAGUGUAAAUUUUGUCAUCACAGCAUUGUCAAAACAAGGAGAAAUGGAUCAAGGGUUCAACAUAACUCCAACAAAUGCCUACAUAUUUUUAACAAAUAAUCAAACAUAAGUUUGCAUUGAACACUGAAUGAAGCAAAAGAGCAUUGCUGAAAUACCAAAGAUAGUCAACCUUCUCCACAUGUACUAUGAUCUCUAUAUAUCACCUCAAAUCCCUACACCAGUUAUGCAAAAAAACAAUUGAUCAACCACCAAGGAACAUGUAGAACAACUUCCACAGGCAGGGGAAGAACAAACCUUUGUGUAGCCUUUGCACCUUGGACAGGUCCAUAAGAAAAGUGAUGUUAAGUCAGAUGUGUACACCUGAAACACAUUUAUGUAACCCAAGUCUAUAAAAGGACAAAAACCAAAGAACAUAUCUAUUAGUGACUGGCAAUGCUGCACAUGAAAGGGAGGGAAUGGAAAGGUCUUAGCUAGUAGGUUACUUUUAAAUGGUAGAAUGAUGAUACAGACAAUCCAAAUGUAGAGGGCAGCAGGGUGUAGCAAAAAAUCAGAUCAACGGAACAUUUUAGGCUAGUAUAUCAGAUCAGCGGAACAUUUUAGGCUAGUAUAUCAAAAUGUACUUGGCCUUCGGUGGUAGAUGUGAAACAUAGAACAUAUGUAUGAAACCCACAUUAUAUAUAUUCUCCUAUUUUAAUGUCGGUUCUCAUUCCACACUUUUUAACUGUGAACAUUAGUUCUUUCUUACUACUACAACGCACGGACAUAUCAUGGUUUGUAAAGCUUGUAC
This 2649-nucleotide long non-coding RNA is filed under the name Zea mays. RNAcentral's name for it is "long non-coding RNA (ZMAY_LNC004315)". Lineage: Eukaryota; Viridiplantae; Streptophyta; Magnoliopsida; Poales; Poaceae. The record is from RNAcentral.